Molecule: ribosomal RNA, 341 nt
Filed under: Blautia wexlerae
Lineage: Bacteria; Bacillati; Bacillota; Clostridia; Lachnospirales; Lachnospiraceae
Description: bacterial SSU rRNA
Rfam family: Bacterial small subunit ribosomal RNA
Source: RNAcentral
CUUAUGAUUUGGGCUACACACGUGCUACAAUGGCGUAAACAAAGGGAAGCGAGAUUGUGAGAUGGAGCAAAUCCCAAAAAUAACGUCCCAGUUCGGACUGUAGUCUGCAACCCGACUACACGAAGCUGGAAUCGCUAGUAAUCGCGGAUCAGAAUGCCGCGGUGAAUACGUUCCCGGGUCUUGUACACACCGCCCGUCACACCAUGGGAGUCAGUAACGCCCGAAGUCAGUGACCUAACUGCAAAGAAGGAGCUGCCGAAGGCGGGACCGAUGACUGGGGUGAAGUCGUAACAAGGUAGCCGUAUCGGAAGGUGCGGCUGGAUCACCUCCUUUCUAAGGAA